AUUGAACGCUGGCGGCAGGCCUAACACAUGCAAGUCGAGCGGAUGAAGGGAGCUUGCUCCUGGAUUCAGCGGCGGACGGGUGAGUAAUGCCUAGGAAUCUGCCUGGUAGUGGGGGAUAACAUCCGGAAACGGGCGCUAAUACCGCAUACGUCCUGAGGGAGAAAGUGGGGGAUCUUCGGACCUCACGCUAUCAGAUGAGCCUAGGUCGGAUUAGCUAGUUGGUGGGGUAAAGGCCUACCAAGGCGACGAUCCGGAACUGGUCUGAGAGGAUGAUCAGUCACACUGGAACUGAGACACGGUCCAGACUCCUACGGGAGGCAGCAGUGGGGAAUAUUGGACAAUGGGCGAAAGCCUGAUCCAGCCAUGCCGCGUGUGUGAAGAAGGUCUUCGGAUUGUAAAGCACUUUAAGUUGGGAGGAAGGGCAGUAAGUUAAUACCUUGCUGUUUUGACGUUACCAACAGAAUAAGCACCGGCUAACUUCGUG
RNAcentral lists this ribosomal RNA (484 nucleotides) under uncultured bacterium. Its description in RNAcentral is "partial 16S ribosomal RNA". It matches the Rfam family "Bacterial small subunit ribosomal RNA", at positions 30 to 507 of the family's 1533-position model. The record is from RNAcentral.